CGCCUGCCGGCGACCGGCGCACGGGUGAGUAACACGUAUGGAACCUGCCCUGUACUGGGGGAUAAGCGGGGGAAACCCGUCUAAUACCGCGUAACGCGGCCUAGGGACAUCCCAAGGCCGCCAAAGGGAGCAAUCCCGGCCACGGAUGGGCAUGCGGCGCAUUAGCUAGUCGGCGGGGUAACGGCCCACCGAGGCGACGAUGCGUAGGGGUUCUGAGAGGAAGGCCCCCCACACUGGUACUGAGACACGGACCAGACUCCUACGGGAGGCAGCAG
This 275-nucleotide ribosomal RNA is filed under the name uncultured bacterium. RNAcentral's name for it is "partial 16S ribosomal RNA". It matches the Rfam family "Bacterial small subunit ribosomal RNA", at positions 82 to 354 of the family's 1533-position model. The record is from RNAcentral.